RNAcentral lists this transfer RNA (74 nucleotides) under Gammaproteobacteria bacterium RBG_16_51_14. RNAcentral's name for it is "tRNA-Gln". It matches the Rfam family "tRNA". From Rfam's summary of the family: Transfer RNA (tRNA) molecules are approximately 80 nucleotides in length. Their secondary structure includes four short double-helical elements and three loops (D, anti-codon, and T loops). The record is from RNAcentral. Lineage: Bacteria; Pseudomonadati; Pseudomonadota; Gammaproteobacteria.
UGGGGGAUCGUCUAAUGGUAGGACUACGGACUCUGACUCCGUCAGUCUAGGUUCGAAUCCUAGUCCCCCAGCCA